RNAcentral lists this small nuclear RNA (101 nucleotides) under Nannospalax galili (Upper Galilee mountains blind mole rat). Lineage: Eukaryota; Metazoa; Chordata; Mammalia; Rodentia; Spalacidae. The record is from RNAcentral.
GUGCUCAGUUUGCCGGCACAUAUACUAAAGUUAGAACAAUAAAGAUUAGCAUGGCUCUGUGCCAGGAUGACACCAAAAUUCAUGAAGCAUUGCAUAUUUUA